Molecule: long non-coding RNA, 870 nt
Organism: Salvia miltiorrhiza (redroot sage)
Lineage: Eukaryota; Viridiplantae; Streptophyta; Magnoliopsida; Lamiales; Lamiaceae
Exons: 3
Source: RefSeq, a predicted model, not a curated record
CAUUUGUAAAUUUAGUUAUUAAAUUUAUAUGCAUUACAUAUUUAUUUAAUUGAGCAUCGAUCAUUUACACGAACUAUUUUAUUUAACGAACACUGAACGAUUAUUACAGUUUUCAUAGUACAACCCGGAAGAUUUUUAUUUUAUUUUAUUUUAUUACUCCCAUCUACUCCUACACCCACCUACUCCAUCAGCCACCAUAUGCCACAACUUUAUAGCUUUUUGUUGAGACACCUCAUUCACCACCAUACCUUUCAAUCAUACCAUUCUCUGCAAUCAUACCAUACACCUCAUUCAUCACCAUACCUUUCUCUACAAAGUCAUUUCACUUCAAUAAAGGAUCUAUCUUUUCCCUCACUUAGCAUCUUCGAUCAAUCUCAUUUCUCCCUCAAGUUACUCUCUAGUUCCAACAAACCCAAAGAAAUCCAAGUGCAGAGCUCAGCCAUAUUGCGAAUGGAUCAAAUUGCCACAAAACUCAGAUUUCAGCAACUCAAACCAGAGGCUUUGAGCAACAGGAGGAUUAGCAUUGCUAUUCCGAUUCAGAGAUAAGGAUAAACGACAGGCUUUGCCUAAUCAGGUUGAGCAGUUGAUGGAAUGGAAUGAUGUUGAGCGGGUGUUCCUUUGACAUUUCAAGAAAUGUAACCUUGAGUAUACAUCUUCAUAUGUAUAUCUCACACGUUUUCCGCUGCAAAACACUUUGAUUAGGAUAACUCUAUGUUAUGAAGUUGUUACACGUGUUAUUGGGUAACCCACCUUAAUCAGUUCUCUUUUAUGUGUAUGUUUUAUAAGUAUCCAAAUGAUCAUAUAUGAUCCUAGCUUUUUAUCUAUAAGUGAUAUUUUCAUAUACUUUAAUGUUAAGUAAUUGUCCAUUUC